AUUAGAUACCCUGGUAGUCCACGCAGUAAACGAUGAAUGUCAGCUGUCCGGGACUUCGGUCCUGGGUGGCACAGCGAAAGCGUUAAACAUUCCACCUGGGGAGUACGCCGGCAACGGUGAAACUCAAAGGAAUUGACGGGGGCCCGCACAAGCGGAGGAACAUGUGGUUUAAUUCGAUGAUACGCGAGGAACCUUACCCGGGCUCAAACGUGACUGGAAUGUCCGCGAAAGCGGGCAGCCCUUCGGGGCCGGUUACGAGGUGCUGCAUGGUUGUCGUCAGCUCGUGCCGUGAGGUGUCGGCUUAAGUGCCAUAACGAGCGCAACCCCUACCGACAGUUGCUAACAAGCGAAGUUGAGGACUCUGUCGGGACUGCCGGCGCAAGCUGCGAGGAAGGCGGGGAUGACGUCAAAUCAGCACGGCCCUUACGUCCGGGGCGACACACGUGUUACAAUGGCGGGUACAGCGGGAGGCCAUGCGGCGACGCAGAGCGGAACCCGAAAACCCGUCUCAGUUCGGAUUGGAGUCUGCAACCCGACUCCAUGAAGCUGGAUUCGCUAGUAAUCGCGCAUCAGCCACGGCGCGGUGAAUACGUUCCCGGGCCUUGUACACACCGCCCGUCAAGCCAUGGGAGCCGGGAGUGCCUGAAGUGCGUGAGCGCGAGAAGCGCCCUAGGGUAAAACCGGUGACUGGGGCUAAGUCGUAACAAGGUAAC
This 713-nucleotide ribosomal RNA is filed under the name uncultured bacterium. RNAcentral's name for it is "bacterial SSU rRNA". It matches the Rfam family "Bacterial small subunit ribosomal RNA", at positions 777 to 1500 of the family's 1533-position model. The record is from RNAcentral.